This 365-nucleotide unclassified non-coding RNA is filed under the name Hevea brasiliensis (rubber tree). The record is from RNAcentral. Lineage: Eukaryota; Viridiplantae; Streptophyta; Magnoliopsida; Malpighiales; Euphorbiaceae.
AUUUCCUACUACUAAAAGAAGCAUAAUAAUUGUUAAGAUGCCCUUCUUUCCAAGAUGGAUUUGGAUCACGACUAAGACUACGGCUACGCCUGUAGGGAGGAACGUAUAUAGAGCGUGAAGACUUGUGAAUGUGACCUGUUAUGUGUUCUUCCUGAUGCUCCUCGUGCACAUGAUUUGUUAUGUAUCAUAACUCUGAAUUUGUGGAAGUAUAUGGGACGUGUUUCGGUGUUCUCGUCCGGGCAUACUACUAAGAGAGAAUUUUUAUUUUUUUUUAAGAAAGAACUUUUUGGCAUAACUAUUAAGAGAAUGGUAUUGAUAGGAUUACCUUUCUUUCUUGGUGCAGGAGUUAUGGAUGCAAGUCUGGU